This is a ribosomal RNA of Xenopus tropicalis (tropical clawed frog), 119 nucleotides long. The record is from Ensembl. NCBI's taxonomy places the organism in Eukaryota, Metazoa, Chordata, Amphibia, Anura, Pipidae.
GCCUACGGCCAUACCACCCUGAAAGCGCCCGAUCUCGUCUGAUCUCGGAAGCUAAGCGGGCACGGGCCUGGUUAGUACCUGGAUGGGAGACCGCCUGGGAAUACCAGGUGUUGUAGGCU